RNAcentral lists this ribosomal RNA (594 nucleotides) under uncultured Bacteroidota bacterium. RNAcentral describes it as "bacterial SSU rRNA". It matches the Rfam family "Bacterial small subunit ribosomal RNA", at positions 122 to 715 of the family's 1533-position model. Lineage: Bacteria; Pseudomonadati; Bacteroidota. The record is from RNAcentral.
CAACCUGCCCACCACUUGGGGAUAACCUUGCGAAAGUAAGACUAAUACCCAAUGACGUCUCUAGAAGACAUCUGAAGGAGAUUAAAGAUUUAUCGGUGAUGGAUGGGGAUGCGUCUGAUUAGCUUGUUGGCGGGGUAACGGCCCACCAAGGCUACGAUCAGUAGGGGUUCUGAGAGGAAGGUCCCCCACAUUGGAACUGAGACACGGUCCAAACUCCUACGGGAGGCAGCAGUGAGGAAUAUUGGUCAUGGACGAGAGUCUGAACCAGCCAAGUAGCGUGCAGGAUGACGGCCCUAUGGGUUGUAAACUGCUCUUAUAAGGGAAUAAAGUGAGAGUCGUGACUCUUUUUGCAUGUACCUUAUGAAUAAGGACCGGCUAAUUCCGUGCCAGCAGCCGCAGUAAUACGGAAGGUCCGGGCGUUAUCCGGAUUUAUUGGGUUUAAAGGGAGCGUAGGCCGGAGAUUAAGCGUGUUGUGAAAUGUAGACGCUCAACGUCUGCACUGCAGCGCGAACUGGUUUCCUUGAGUACGCACAAAGUGGGCGGAAUUCGUGGUGUAGCGGUGAAAUGCUUAGAUAUCACGAAGAACUCCGAUUG